This 402-nucleotide ribosomal RNA is filed under the name Salmonella enterica subsp. enterica. RNAcentral describes it as "partial 23S ribosomal RNA". It matches the Rfam family "Bacterial large subunit ribosomal RNA", at positions 1355 to 1757 of the family's 2925-position model. The record is from RNAcentral. Lineage: Bacteria; Pseudomonadati; Pseudomonadota; Gammaproteobacteria; Enterobacterales; Enterobacteriaceae.
CUGUCCAACGUUAAUCGGGGCAGGGUGAGUCGACCCCUAAGGCGAGGCCGAAAGGCGUAGUCGAUGGGAAACGGGUUAAUAUUCCCGUACUUGGUGUUACUGCGAAGGGGGGACGGAGAAGGCUAUGUUGGCCGGGCGACGGUUGUCCCGGUUUAAGCGUGUAGGUGUGUGUUCCAGGUAAAUCCGGUUCACUUUAACACUGAGGCGUGAUGACGAGGCACUACGGUGCUGAAGCAACAAAUGCCCUGCUUCCAGGAAAAGCCUCUAAGCAUCAGGUAACAUCAAAUCGUACCCCAAACCGACACAGGUGGUCAGGUAGAGAAUACCAAGGCGCUUGAGAGAACUCGGGUGAAGGAACUAGGCAAAAUGGUGCCGUAACUUCGGGAGAAGGCACGCUGACAC